This is an RNA transcript of Tripterygium wilfordii, 4062 nucleotides long. It is a transcript of the gene named transportin-1-like, with no coding region annotated. The record is from RefSeq and is a predicted model, not a curated record. The transcript is spliced from 2 exons. NCBI's taxonomy places the organism in Eukaryota, Viridiplantae, Streptophyta, Magnoliopsida, Celastrales, Celastraceae.
CCUUUCAUUCUCUCAUAUUCCUUCACCUCCUUGGAGAACACGAUGCAGUUGUUCUCUCUAGUCUCUACUAGUUCGCGACGACAGUCGACAAGCCAUUCGCGAAAAAAUGGCUCCGUAAUUCUUUGGUUGGGGUAGGAUCUUCGAGUCCGAGUCGACGAUCAUCCGGGCCUUGUAGAUGGUUACGCCCUACGUUUCGAUCACGGAUUCUUUUUCGUGCGUAUGCUUAUUCUGCUUUGUCUUGUAUUCCUCGUUUUUUCUCCUUGUGUUAGGUUUUUAUUUGUCUUAUGUUCCAACUCUGUUAAAUCCUUGAAUCGGAAAUCCAUUUUUGCAUUCAUGAGCUCGCUCUCCUUCAGAUUUGUUAGGUUUUUCUCCUUGUGUUCUUAGGUUUUUCUUUGGUCGAAGUAGGAUCUUGGAGUCCGAGUCGACGAUCAUCCGGCCUUGUAGCCGAACCAGAGUAUCGGGCCGUGGUUCCUACAUACGUAUUCGAUCGCGGAUUCUUUUUUGUUCGUAUGCUUCUUCUGCUUUGUCUUGUAUUCCUUGUUUUUUCUCAUUGUGUUGUUAAAACCUAGAAUCGGAACUCGAUUUUUGCUUUCACGAGCUUCUCCUUCAGUUUUGUUAGGGUUUUCUCCUUGUGUUGUUAGGUUUUCAUUGGUUGAAGUAGGAUCUUCGAGUCCCGAAUCGACGAUCGUCCGGACCAGAGUAUGGGCCGUGGUUCCUCCCUACGUCUUCGUUCACGGAUUCUUUUUCGUGCGUAUGCUUCUUCUGCUUUGUCUUGUAUUUCUUUCGUGGUGUUGUUAGGUUUUUCUUUGUCUUAUAUUCCAACUCUAAUGUAUUGUUAAAACCUAGAAUCGGAAUUCGAUUUUUUGCUUUCACGAGCGCAUUUUUUCUCCUUGUGUUGUUAGGUUGUUCUUUGUCUUAUAUUCGAACUCCAAAUGAAUUGUUAAAACCUAGAAUCUGGAACUCGAUUUUUUGCUUUCACGAGCUCACUCUCCUUCAGAUUAUAGUAUCUCCAUCUCCUUGUCAUGUCCCACAUCGGAAGAGGUGGGCGUGCCAAUGCAGAACUUAAGUGGGAGGGCCUUCCUUCCCUAAUAGUCAAGGUUUUCAGAAGGGCAGAGGCCACUGGACCUUGGUUACAACCGGCCCAUGGGCAGGUGGGCAGCCCAUGCGUGGGUAGGAGAGGGCCCCUUGCUUUAGAUGUGUAUCGGUUGGGCCUUGGUUGUUAGUGGAGGGGUUCAAGGGCCAUAACACUCCUCCUCUGAGCAUCUUCUCUGUUUGCCCACACAAGGAGAGGCAAUACGCUAAAGAAUGGCUAGGUAAUUCUCUUGUUCAGCAAAGGUUCUCCGAGUCUUCCACUAUCCUGGCUUUGUAGCCGGCAAGGCAAUGUGCCAAGAGUUAGCUACUUAGCUGUAGAAGUUAUUCGCACCUUCUGUGUGCAUUUGGGAGACGGAAUUGUGUACCACUCUUGGGACUUAGCGGAUGCUGUUGGAGCAGAACUGAAUCAGGUAUAUAGCUUCCAGAACGGCCCAUCAUGAUUUAUCUCUCCUCAUUUCAUUGUGCAUUUUUUUUAUGUCAACAACUUUAUGUCACUUUUGUUGCUGUGUUAGUUCUUGUUUUUGCUCUUUAUCUCUCACAGGCACAACAUUUGUUGUCCUACUUUUCUUUAACUUCUUCGUUUAAUGAAUUUAACGUUUUCUAUCAUAAAAACUUUGUCGUUAACUAACUUGAUGGUUCAAUCAAUGUCUCCAUUAAUUACAAAGUGGCAGCAACUCUCAAAUUCAGACAAGAACCUCUUUCCUUUGUUCGGGUGGUUUACAACUUUACAUCGACAGAACUGGUGAGUAUCAUCAUUUCAUUUUGAGGUUGAUAUAUUUAUUGUAUUCUCAAUGAGAUGAUCUCAAUCUGAUAGAAUAAAAAGGUGUAUCCUCAUGGCAAGCAAUGAUUCCCAAAUUGAAUCUUAUUUUAAGUGAUUUGGUGAUUGAAUGUUAGGCAUUCACACAUGUCACAAUAAGAAAAUAUAGCAAGCUAGUUCCUUAAUGGAAAUGAAUCUUCUCAUGGUGUCCCAAUCGAGAGGGUUUGAGUUCCUAGGUCAACCGUAAACUCAGAGAUGUGCACCUGAUCUUUAAAUGGUAUUACUGGUUUGUGGCUGAUAGCCGGUAGCUGGGUGUACUCUGCAUCGGAGUACCGUAUGGAUUUCAUUGGAGAGAUUCCACAUUAUCAAAAAAAAUCCAUCACUGGAAAUUAGCAUGCCUGUGUUCCUAUUCAGGACUAUUCAGCAUUUGAUCUGAUUUGGAACUUCUAUUUUAUUGGUUUAUGCCGUGGCAAAUACUUUUUUAUUCCAAAGCAGCGAUGGUGUUUCCACAUGCAGCUACAUAGAGCAUGCCUCAUCGUUCCCAAUUUUUAUUCUUACUGGGAUCAUAAUUGGUGGUGAAUAUGAAAGUGUAAUUUCCAGUUCAAAGGACAAUCUCUCUUCAAUUUUAAACUGUGAUACCCAUGCUAGUAUUUUUAGCUCUUUUAAAUCGACAUAAUUUCAACAUAUUUUGUAUGUGAUGUGAUAGGAUAAGAAACUAGAUGAUUCAAUCUAGGAUAGGGGUAGUGCCAAUCAAAAUAAGAUGCAAUAAAAAUAUGCUAAGAUAGCUUGGGCAUUACUAUAUUGAAGAUAUUAUUGUGGUAUUGAAGAUAUUAUUGGGCAUUACUAUAUUGAAGAUAUUAUUGUGGCAUGAACUCUAUAGAAUAGAUGAAAUUGUAGAUCUUGAUAAGAACAAGUGGCAAAGAAAACUCAUGGCAUGGAUGGGUUCAUGUAGUCUACCCAUAACAUAGUGAUUAUGAUACUAUGGGAUAAGACUUUGAUGAUGAAUGUGUUGUACUAUGGUAUCUUCUUUUGUCUCAUUUGUCUUUAAAAAUUGUGUUGUACUAUGGUAUCUUAUUUUGGAGCAUUCUGGUGGUAACAGAAGCGUUGCCAUACAUUAAUUUUGCAAUUUUUGAGUUCUGCAUUGUUUGGGUGUCUGAAAUUCAUUUUUGGUGGAUAUAUGCAUUGUCUCAUGGAAUGCACGUGUAUUGUAAAUGAGAAAGUGACAUGUUUUCAUUGUCUUGGAAAAAAAGGUUAAAAAAAAAGAGUAUGGGUCUCUUACUCUUUUUUUCGUCAUUGUUGUAUUAGUUUGAUUUUUUAGCCAAAGCUUUUUUAGUUGCUAUAUUUGCACCUUUAGCAAAUCACGUUCCCUCUAGUAAGAUGCUAUUUGUCUUCUAACAAUUUCACCUGCUUUUAAGUUUUUGAUUGUUGCGUGGAUUAAAUGGCUAGUUAGCAAUGUCUUGUGUGGAUGUAUCUCGACUUCCCGCGGUCUUUAUUAUUUGAAAUCUUGUCUAUGGUAUUUUUUCUGGAUUAAAUUCUGUAUGUAUAUAUAUUUCCAUUCAAGUCAUUAUCAUACCCCCAAACUCUAAUGAGGUACAAGCUUGUUCUUUCAUUUCCUUUAAGCAUCAUAUUAUAAUCUGUUUCGCCAACUUCAUUGCGCAUUUUGCUUCAGGCACUUCCCACUUAAAAGAUAUUGGCUGAAAAUUUACGCAGGUUGAUUCUGUUUCUUCAGUAUGAUAAAGGGCACUCUUAAUCUGCUCUCUGGACUUGCUGUGGAAUGGGAUGGAGAUGUUGGUAUAUGAACAAGGUUGGUACUCCCCUAACUCAAACAUUAUUUGAUCAUAGAAAAAUAUAUGAUAGAGUCUCACAUCGGUUAGGAGAGGGGAGGAAGUGCUGUAUAUAGGUGAUAGGUAUUCCCUCUCCUUAGUAACCAAGCUUUUCCCAUAGAAGGGCUUGGCCACAACCCCCCUUGGGCCUUGGACUGCAUGGUAUGGGCCAGGCCCAAUGGCCUGUGGAUGGGUUGGGGCUUGGCUAUUGAGUGAUGGUCCUCUUGUUCUAUCAAUAUAUGAGAUCAGGCAUAUUAGCUGGCAAAAUUUGUUUAUGUUCAGUUGGUAAAACUAAAUCAUGAUAUGUGAUUUGUGAACUAGUGAGAUCAUGCCACAUGUUUAAAAGUUUUAAACAAAGUAACAUCUAAGAUUAACAAGGAACUUUCUCAU